GGGAGGAAGGGGCGGGCCUGGGCGGGGUCGCGGCGUUCUCGGGUGUUGGCGCGCAGGUGCCUCGAGGCCCCUGCGGGCUGUGGCGGCGCGACCGCAUCCUCUCCACCCACGCCCCGCGACCCCGUGCAGGGAGCCGCCGUUGCGGGGGGGGUCGCACAGCGGGGAGGGGUGGAGGCGACCGCGGCUCUGGGGUACCCGAGGGGGGACCCAUCGGGGGGCACCUGCGUUGCGUUUAAACAGGCCUCCCCACGGGCCGCGGUGUGCGGGUGGAGGGCUCUGACUGUGUCCCGCCCUGGAGGGUUCCACGGAGUCCACGGAGGGUUCCACGGAGUCCGCGGAGGCUUCCACGGAGUCCGCGGCCUCCAGGGCCGUGUUGGAGACCCGCUGACUUCUCACGUUGCCACUGGUACGUUUGCCGCUGCAGGAGGCAAUCUGUUCUUUUCCAACAAAGUUCCUCUGCUUCCCCGGGAGAAACCUGCUUAGGAGACAGAUGUUUUUAGAAAAAGCAGAGUAGGAAAACCGAGGCAGAAAAGGACAUGUGGGGUUGAUACUGUGUUGAUGGUGAGGAAGGGUGCCCCAGCCUCAAUGGAGACCCUUCAUCUCCGGGGUGGUGGGUGCGUUAACCUGCCCCGGAAAGCGGGUGCUGGUCUGAAAUCAUUGCAUCGUAAAUGUGAGAGUUUGUUCCAAGGAAAGCGCUGAUGCUGUUGGCUUCAGGAAGAAUACAACAGAAGCUUCAUUCUGAGACUUCUGGGAGGCCACGGGUGGGCUUCAGCUUGACACCCGGAAGUUUCUAAACCAAGUGCGCUGGGCACCAGGAGCCAAAGAAUGCCGCGGUGCUGCUGGUUCAGUGCAGCAGCAGGAGUCCCCCCACCGCCCUGUGUGUGGGCCUCCAUGUGGGCUGGACAGACUGACCCAAGCGACGUCUAACAGCACGUACACUGAGCGUGGGGCCCCAGGCGGUUCAGGGGCCGGAUGGAUGUCAACAGCCCACUUCUCCCCGGUCCAUGAGGAGCCACGGAAAUGACAAGAGCAGAUCUCAGGAAGCCCCAGCCCUGCCCGACAGGUGACCUCCCGGAACACGGGAACCCUUGGCCAGAGCCAGUCUGGUACUGAGCCUGGUCCGGUGUGUGUACAGAGCUGGAUGUCCUCUCACUGCCCAUGUGGAUUUGUGUGACCAGCGCGGCUCUCACCAUGCUGAAUGGUACCACGGGCUCCAGGGUCCCCGUGCUGCCCUCCCCCUGCACUGUCCCCCGGCCUCUGACCACCAGCCUCCUCAGCAGGGAAACUGUCCUUUUGAGGCUAGAAACGGAAACACAGUAUAUGUGACGCACAGAGAUGGGUGCUGUGCUCUGUGUCCUUCCCAUGGGGCCAGCGGUCUGCUGCUUUCCAUCUCAAAGCAGUGUCUGGGCUGUGGGGGCACAGGGGACGUGACCACAUGCUGCUGAAGACCAUCUGGGACUCUCCCACUUCGGAGCUGUUACCUGUAAAGCUGUGCGGACUAUUCGUAGACAGUGUUUUGUGCCUGAUCACAUGACUUGUUAUUCCUGGACAGAGGUCCAGGAGAGUGGCAGGGUCACGCUGUAAGGGGGGGCGUGCCGCCUCUGUUCCGCGGGCACUCUGUGGGCUCCUGCUUCCCUGGGGCCCUGCCAGCACUUGCUGGCCUCACUGGCUCUUCCUUUCGCCUCUCUGAUGGUGCGGGCGAUCCGCAGGCUGCCCGGGAGAGGGCCACAAUGGGGCGCCCGGGCAGCCGUGACCACAGAGUCCGCCUUGGGCCCCGUGGAAGGUUCCAGCUUAGGGAGCGUAGAAGAGUCACGGGAGGAGCCCUGUCCUUCCGACCACACAUGGGGGAAGGGAGGGGGUGUGGAGGGCAGGUUCAGGCACCCGGGUUUUAGGGGGUGUUUUCUGGAAGCAAAGAGGGGGCAUAGGGAGACAUCUGUGUCUGGCACCCCAGGGACCUGAAAGCCACCCCAGGUCCCGCUGGUAGGAGGAUUGUUUUGUUUGAGGGAAACAUUCUCAGAGCCCGACACCGUCUUUGCUGAUAACUGAACACAGGCUCGCUGUGGGAGUUACAACGCACAGUAACCCGUCACCCAGCAAACGAGGGAAGUCCUGGUGAACCAGCAAGGGAACGGCACAGCCGACCCACCAGCAGCCCGGUCACUGCUGUUCUAGGCAAGGCGUGGGGCCCAUGGCGUCUGACUCCCAGGGCGCACCUUCCCCUCAGGAGGCGGCAGAGCUCACCGCGGGGGCCCCCAGUGCUGGGUCGUGGGAGGAGGCUUCACUGCCGAGAGCCGCUCGGGGCAGCCCAGCCGGGCCCUGCCAGACCCAGGGUCUCACUGCGGCCCCACGGACUCUCCCUGUGAAGGGUUGACAUGGCCGCGCUUCCCCAUUCCGGCCCACACGACCCGACCAUGCUGAGCGGCCGAGUGCGUGUCAGCCGCAGGCGUUAGUGGCGGCGUCCCCACGCAGCCUCCCCGGCGCAAACACUUCACCGAGCUCAGAACACUGAAGUCACAAAGAAGCGAAAUUCUAGCCGACCACACACAGCAGGGACGGAGCAGAGGUCACGGGCUGUGUCCCUGGCAGCGGGGACCAUCCACGUGGACGGCAGCGCUGGCCCAUCAGGCCCUGGGACCUCCAGGCUCAGAGCCGCCGGGGUGGAGAACACCCUAGGGGUCCUCGGGGUCCGUGCUCCAGCCUCCGGGUGCUCCGGGGCCAGGGAGCUUGGGGGCCCAGCUGCCCUGUCCUCCCGGCCUGUGGGGAAAGCAGCCUCCACCUGAUUUUCUGUGCCUCAUUCCAUUGGGCAGGUCUCGGGGGGCAGCAGCGGAGAGCGGCUGCCCGGCGCCCAUGCUGCCCCCCCACUGCACCCCGCAGGCUUGCUGCUGGGGCUCCUUGUGGUGACGCUACAGCGCAGCGGGAUGACGGCCCUUGUCGGCGACUUUCCCCAUAUUAGCUCGGUGUCCCUGCGCAACCGGGAAGCAGGAGGCAGGCGUCACUUCUCUCUUCCAGGCUCAUGGGUGGGGGCUUCCUGAAAGCCCGAUCACUGGGGACAGAGCCAGGACACCAACCCAGGUUCUACAGGUUCCAGGCUGGUGUCCCCGCCCAGCCACCUGACGGACACUCGGCAGGUGCUCCCGGUCAGAAUCCCUGCGAGUGCGGGAGUAGGUCCCCGCGUCGUGGCCAGCGCGGCUG
Long non-coding RNA from Mustela erminea (ermine), 3192 nucleotides. RefSeq lists it as uncharacterized. The transcript is spliced from 4 exons. NCBI's taxonomy places the organism in Eukaryota, Metazoa, Chordata, Mammalia, Carnivora, Mustelidae. The record is from RefSeq and is a predicted model, not a curated record.